GUGGGGAAUUUUGGACAAUGGGCGCAAGCCUGAUCCAGCAAUGCCGCGUGCAGGAAGAAGGCCUUCGGGUUGUAAACUGCUUUUGUACGGAACGAAACGGUCCGGGUUAAUACCCUGGGCUAAUGACGGUACCGUAAGAAUAAGCACCGGCUAACUACGUGCCAGCAGCCGCGGUAAUACGUAGGGUGCAAGCGUUAAUCGGAAUUACUGGGCGUAAAGCGUGCGCAGGCGGUUUUGUAAGACAGGCGUGAAAUCCCCGGGCUCAACCUGGGAAUUGCGCUUGUGACUGCAAGGCUGGAGGGCGGCAGAGGGGGAUGGAAUUCCGCGUGUAGCAGUGAAAUGCGUAGAUAUGCGGAGGAACACCGAUGGCGAAGGCAAUCCCCUGGGCCUGCACUGACGCUCAUGCACGAAAGCGUGGGGAGCAAACAGGAUUAGAUACCCCGGUAGUCC
RNAcentral lists this ribosomal RNA (450 nucleotides) under uncultured bacterium. Its description in RNAcentral is "partial 16S ribosomal RNA". It matches the Rfam family "Bacterial small subunit ribosomal RNA", at positions 354 to 796 of the family's 1533-position model. The record is from RNAcentral.